AAACGGGUGGCGUCAAGCUGCUAGCCCGGGGGGUUCAGCUGACUAGGAUGUUGUGUAUGCGCCUGUUGCAUCAAUCAGUCGGUAUGAGAUUCGGUAGUCCACUGGAAGACAGUGGGCCUGGUCGCAAGACUGGGUAUGUGUACCGGGCGGCUGCCGGAGCAUGCUAUCUAUCUGUUGGACUGUCUAGUCAGUGCACUCUCCUCGUGGUGGGCACCACGACCGGUGGCAUUGCCAGUCUGCUGUGGUCAAGUCUUGUUUAGUUGUUCCUCGUGAUCAGCUGGAUGGGAUCACAGGCAAUUCAGUUAACGGCGUAGAGGUGUUUCGGCAUUUCUACGUGUAAUCGGCGACUGGUUGUCAACGGGUGUGCCUUGCGAACGAUGUAGCCGUCGCUUGGUGACCCGGUGGGCCAUGGUGGUAAAUACAACUGUGCAAGGCACUGGUGUUCUCGACCUCAAAUGCAGCCUACGUGCGCGCGUUACAAGCGUAAGCGUGGCAUCGGUGCUGCCUGCCUGUUCUCUGGUCUGAUUGCCGUGUCGCCUGCGCAAAGUGGGUCCGGCGGUGGCUGGAGGUGGGUCGGGUGGUGCAUUGCGGUGUUGCGUGUGUGGGUUGUGGUGGGUCAGUGAGUCUGUGGUGUUGUGGUAGACCAGUCACCCGGCCCGUCUUGAAACACGGACCAAGGAGUUUAACACGUGUGCAAGUCAAAGGGUCCUACGAAACCCCAAGGCGCAGUGAAAGUGAGGCUCCGACUUGUCCCGGAGUGAGGUGAGAUCCUGCCGUAACUCGCAUAAGUCUGCCAGCAACAGGCUAAGAGCGGUGGGCGCAUCACCGGCCCGUCCCA
Molecule: ribosomal RNA, 838 nt
Filed under: Caulobothrium sp. MZUSP 7790
Lineage: Eukaryota; Metazoa; Platyhelminthes; Cestoda; Tetraphyllidea
Description: partial large subunit ribosomal RNA
Source: RNAcentral